RNAcentral lists this transfer RNA (68 nucleotides) under Palomena prasina (green shield bug). RNAcentral's name for it is "tRNA-Gln". Lineage: Eukaryota; Metazoa; Arthropoda; Insecta; Hemiptera; Pentatomidae. The record is from RNAcentral.
UAUACUUAAGUGUAAGAUGCACAGAGAAUUUUGAUUUCUUUAGAUUGGUUUAAUUCCAGAAAGUAUAA